GAUUCGCGAGCUUUUAUGACAAAAGACUAAACGAGCUUUCUUCCCCAUUCAAUUUAUAGAUUACCCCCAUCUGAUUACACAGGUGAUUCGCCGUUUGUAAAAUACUUAUGGCCUCCAAUAUUUUAGAUGCAUUUUGCAAAUCGCGAAUUUCGCUGCAGGACCAUUAACA
Small nucleolar RNA from Caenorhabditis elegans, 169 nucleotides. The record is from Ensembl. Lineage: Eukaryota; Metazoa; Nematoda; Chromadorea; Rhabditida; Rhabditidae.